CUUAAGCAAUUCACAACUCUGACAAAUCCCAGAUAAGAACAUUGUUAAGCAGGGAUUACAUUAACAUAGGUUUUGCCUUAUCCAAUUAUUAUCUACAAGGAAUAACCUUCUGAGUAUACUGAUUUCCUAAUUUCACAUGACCAGAAUUCAUUAAUAAUAUAAAACCUUUUAUUUUGACAUCAUAGAACCCACCACCCCAACAAUCAGGGUAGUGGGAUCGCCAAGAACAGCAGAAAUCACAAACUGUAAAGCAAAUCCAGCCAUUUCCCAACAUUUUUGAACUUUCCUCAGAAAUCUCAUAAAUUUAAUUCACCACCACUUCAGAAAUCUCACGCCACCGCACCUCGUACAACUCACAGAUUGACGGACCUCGUUGCUUCACCUCGCAGAUUAACGCUGCUCGCACGCUACACCUUGCACAGAUUGAAGUCUCGCGUCGCCCCACCUCCCACAGCCGCUCCGGUGUGUGGUAAAGAGACGAUAGAGAUAAUAGAGAGAGACGAGAGAGGGAGAGGGAGAGGGAGGAGAUGGGUCUAUGUCUGGGUAGUGGGUAGAGUUUUUAAUUUUUGGUAAUUAGUUUAUUCAAAUAAGUAAUAAAAAAAUUCUGAUUUUUAUAAUGUUAAACUUUUUCUCUGAUUUUAGAAUUCUUGAUUUUAAUGCUAGGGUUUUGUGUAAUUUCCACUUUUUAAAAUUAACCCACAAACACCAAUUUAAUCCUAGAAUGUGAAACCCAUUUGGCCAUUCCAUUCAAAAUUCCAAAUCCAGUAACCCACCUAAUCAUACAUUCAUACCUCUUAGAAUCUCAAAUCUCAAAUCUCAUUUUCUUAUUGAUUUUGGAAAUGCCCAAGCCUGAAGCCUCUGCAAGCCAAAUUAUAGAAAGAAAAUGGUAUUGGUGGCAACCACAUUCCGAGGUAUUGUCAUUUCUGAUUCAUCACGUUUCAUCACUUCAUCUCCGAUUUCUCACCGGAAUUUUGAGGUAUCGAUGUAUUGUCAUUUUAUGCACAAUAAUAAAAUGCUAUAUUUUGUUGUUUGUACGAAAUUAUGAAGUUGAAUUUCUAUUAGCAAAAAAAAAAACUGCUUGAAUAAGUCACAAUAGGAACAUUUUCGGUUUUUACCAAAUUAGUGUCGACUGAAUGGAAAUGGGUACUGAAGACUAGAAGAGACUUUGGAUUUUGGGUGAUAAAUUAGUGGGAAUUUAUUUAGAAAAAUAAAUUCUUGUAAACAAGUUUUGAAAUACAAAUUAUACAAUUUAUUUAUACCGCUGCAUCUCUUCCUUAAUCUUGUAGAGAAGGUGUUUGUUGAAAUGACAUAUCAUUCUCAGAUUCUCUUAUUGCUUCUACACAUUAUUGUUUUUGUUAUUCAGUUUGAGAAUUGAGAUUGAGAUUCAUAUCUAAAGGGUUAGCCGGUUAGGUUAUUUAUGGUAUCAAUUUUGAUUAGGUUUAGAAUAAUAGUUUUGUAAGUAUAGUAUAUUUUACGUUUUUCAUGUUUUAUUAUUUUUUUUUAAAUCUAAUUGAAUAUGACUUUAUUCGUUUAUUUCGGUCGAUCAACUUACUAACUCUACGGUUACAAAUGGAACAUUGUCAAUCAUAUGGUGCUAAGAAGCGAAAAACAUUGUAGAUUCUGUUAUAGACGAGUUUUAUACAGUUAAAGUUCAACGGACACUUCUUCAGAAGGUAAUGUUGUAAUGAAAUUUUAUGCCGUAUACUUUAUAAAAAAAUUUGUAUAUAUAUUUUAAAUUUCAGCCCCCCAACAUAAUUUUCUGGGUUUGCCCCUGGAAAUAGAGUACAAGACAGGCUCUCUCUAUUUAUAUUUAUACAUCUAUAUGUAGACAAGCUACAUAGUAUACUACAUACUAAAACUGCUCCUCGGAAAGAGGAAAAUUAAGAAAGAAAAUAGUUGUGAAAACCACGUUUUUUGCUAGCUUUAUUAUGUAGUUCAAAACAUGGAUUUCCAUUUGUGACUAUAGCCAUAUAUCUCCAGCAUCUUUCGGCAACUUUUUAAGUGAGCCAUCGAGAUGAAGAGUCACGAGAGUAUCAGCGGACCCUAAGAGUUGUCCAUUGAUGAAAACAGCUGGGAUGGCAUAGCUGCACCCUAGCCUCAUCAGAGCCCACUCUAUUUCUUUUCCUCUCGAAUCCUUAUUGAGCUUGUAGAUCGUAGGACUCACGCCUUGCUCAUAAAAUAAUUUCUUGAUAGAAUGGCACAUGCAACAUGUACUUUUACUAGACAUCACCAUGGCUUUUUGUGAAGCCAGAUUUGCUAUGCGAUCCAUCAAAUUACACGAAAAGGAUUAGAGAAGAGGAAACGUGGCACGAGUAAUUUAACCAGUAUACAAUAAAGUUGUUAAAAAGGGGCUCUAGUUUGAUAGAAAAUACACGAUUUUCUUGAACAAAUUUAACGAAGAUGAAUUGUAUUAGACUUGGUUUGUCAUAUGAUAUGGUUUCACUACCUUAUGCAUAUAGAGGCAAGUGUUGAUGUUGGAAUACUUAUUUGAAUUGUUCUAUAAAUUUUAAAAAAAUGACAAAAGAUGAAGGUUCUUUCAGAUUCUUGGAUACAUGCUAAAUUUAACAAAUGACUCCUUGUUUGUGAUGACCUAUUUGGAUCAUUACAAGUUAUUUCUACUUGUAAUUGGAAUCUUUAAGGCUAUUCAGAUAAACCAGAUACAACUUAAAGCAUAUUCAUGUUCAACCAGAUUUUCGUCAUCAUUUUUUAUUUAUACAUAUAAUUUGUAAAUAGGUGAGGAGGCGCAUGGAGAAUGUCAACUAUGAUAGAUGAGAAUUUGGCACACACAUACACACACAUAUUGAUAGAGAAGAUGUGGGCUAAUUUGCGUCACUCUCUCAGCUUCUUGGUUGGACCACCAAGACUAGUGAUUUUCAACAAAUCUUUCUUCAUUUUUAGAGGAAAACGCAGCAAAAAUGCUUCAGGACAUUGCAGCAAAAGCAAUAUUUUUGUACUGGGUUCAGUAACAAAUCGUAGAGGCAAGUGUUGCAUUUUUUCAGUCGCAAGUGUAUGAUAUCGAAC
This 3021-nucleotide long non-coding RNA is filed under the name Olea europaea (common olive). Its description in RNAcentral is "long non-coding RNA (OEUR_LNC010564)". The record is from RNAcentral. Lineage: Eukaryota; Viridiplantae; Streptophyta; Magnoliopsida; Lamiales; Oleaceae.